CUGUCUGUGCCCCAGGCUACUUCAUUUGUCUUUGACAUAGUAGUAGCGGACUUUCCUUCCACCUACAAAUCCAAGACAAACUCCUACAAUUUGCUUUACAAUGUACCUCAGUGUUUUACUUUUUGGGGAUUGUAUUUUAAAUCGGAAAAACAUGAAAAUUCACGAUUCUUUCAUUUCUCUAGAAAGAUCUCCGAGUCACACAGAACAUUACCAUUCCUAUUGAGCCUUGGGUGGUGUUUUUCUCUUUUCACUGGUUGUUCCUUGCUGGUCUUCAGAAGUUUAAAAUCCAGUUCUGGGAUUUCUCCAGGAACAUAUGAAAGACACUUUGGAGAAGGUCACCUUUGUUUACACCUGUUUACUUCAGACUCAAACACACACAAGUGAGUUUCUGAGAAGCUGAAAAAUAAACCUUCCCUGUUACUUUUCCUAAUUCAAGACUUUACAACUAUGCUUUGCACAGUCAUCCUCACUAUAAACACUAGAAAUUUAAACAUUCUCCACCUUACAGCAGAUACUGUAAAAAGAUUUGACCCGAAACUAAGACCAUGUUUGAACUUUUGU
Molecule: long non-coding RNA, 561 nt
Filed under: Lepisosteus oculatus (spotted gar)
Lineage: Eukaryota; Metazoa; Chordata; Actinopteri; Semionotiformes; Lepisosteidae
Description: lncRNA (ENSLOCG00000022596.1)
Source: RNAcentral